ACUCCGUGAAGUCGGAAUCGCUAGUAAUCGCAAAUCAGAAUGUUGCGGUGAAUACGUUCCCGGGCCUUGUACACACCGCCCGUCACACCAUGGGAGUGGGUUGCACCAGAAGUAGAUAGCUUAACCUUCGGGAGGGCGUUUACCACGGUGUGAUUCAUGACUGGGGUGAAGUCGUAACAAGGUAACCCUAGGGGAACCUGGGGUUGGAUCACCUCCUUACCUUAA
This 225-nucleotide ribosomal RNA is filed under the name Aeromonas veronii. RNAcentral's name for it is "partial 16S ribosomal RNA". It matches the Rfam family "Bacterial small subunit ribosomal RNA", at positions 1315 to 1533 of the family's 1533-position model. Lineage: Bacteria; Pseudomonadati; Pseudomonadota; Gammaproteobacteria; Aeromonadales; Aeromonadaceae. The record is from RNAcentral.